CUCUCAGUAGCGCAGUCUGGUAGCGUGCUCGGUUUGGAACCGAGGGGUCGUAGGUUCAAAUCCUACCUGGGAGACCA
Molecule: transfer RNA, 77 nt
Filed under: Aureispira sp.
Lineage: Bacteria; Pseudomonadati; Bacteroidota; Saprospiria; Saprospirales; Saprospiraceae
Also listed under: 1 other name
Description: tRNA-Pro
Rfam family: tRNA
About the family: Transfer RNA (tRNA) molecules are approximately 80 nucleotides in length. Their secondary structure includes four short double-helical elements and three loops (D, anti-codon, and T loops). Further hydrogen bonds mediate the characteristic L-shaped molecular structure. tRNAs have two regions of fundamental functional importance: the anti-codon, which is responsible for specific mRNA codon recognition, and the 3' end, to which the tRNAs corresponding amino acid is attached (by aminoacyl-tRNA synthetases). tRNAs cope with the degeneracy of the genetic code in two manners: having more than one tRNA (with a specific anti-codon) for a particular amino acid; and 'wobble' base-pairing, i.e. permitting non-standard base-pairing at the 3rd anti-codon position.
Source: RNAcentral